Molecule: RNA transcript, 1770 nt
Organism: Molossus molossus (Pallas's mastiff bat)
Lineage: Eukaryota; Metazoa; Chordata; Mammalia; Chiroptera; Molossidae
Gene: RTN4IP1
Gene name: reticulon 4 interacting protein 1
Exons: 9
Source: RefSeq, a predicted model, not a curated record
GAGACUCCGGGCUAGGGUCGUGGUGGGAAUCUGGAAGCGUCUGAUUCUCCGUGGCUCCCGGAUCGCGUGCGGACUCAUUUGGCCCCACCAAGUGCUCUUGGGACCGGGCAGAGUUCUAGGGGUUUUGAUUUUGAUUUUGGUUUUAUUUUUAAGAGGAGGGGGUGUGAGCUGGGAGGAGAAUGGACAAAAGACUGUCUGGAACAUUAAUUGGAGCAUUUCAGAUGUGAAGAGCCAUCUAAUUCCAUAUUCUUCUUCCUUCAUUUGCUCCAUUAGGCUGACUUCAUUGUUGAAUUCUCAGUUUUGAAAUCGGCCAGUUUCCCUGGCAAAAUCUGACGGAAAUCAGGGGAGACAAUUUAAUCCAAUCCAAGUGCAUUUUAAUUAGGGCAGGCAACUCAACCACAUGUUUACGAUGGAAUUUCUGAAGACUUGUGUACUUAGAAGAAAGGCAUGUACUACGUUUUGCUUCUGGAGAAGCCAGGUUAUACAAAAGCUUUCAGUUAGAAAGAUUAGUACUACCUCUCCAAUGAGCACUGUCAUGCCUGCUUGGGUAAUAGAUAAAUAUGGGAACAAUGAAGUGCUUCGAUUUACUCAGGACAUGAUGAUGCCUAUCAUACAGUAUCCAAAUGAAGUCAUUAUCAAAGUUCACGCUGCAAGUGUAAAUCCUAUAGAUGUUAAUAUGAGAAGUGGUUAUGGAGCUACAGCUUUAAAUAUGAAACGUGAUCCUUUGCAUAUUAAAAUCAAAGGAGAAGAAUUUCCUCUGACUCUGGGUCGGGAUGUCUCUGGUGUGGUGAUGGAAUGUGGACUUGAUGUGAGGUACUUCAAGCCCGGAGAUGAGGUGUGGGCUGCAGUUCCUCCCUGGAAACAAGGCACUCUCUCAGAGUUCGUUGUAGUCAGUGGGAACGAGGUGUCUCACAAGCCCAAAUCACUCACUCACACUCAAGCUGCCUCUUUGCCAUAUGUGGCUCUCACAGCCUGGUCUGCCAUAAACAAGGUUGGCGGCCUGAAUGACAAAAACUGCACAGGAAAACGUGUUUUAAUCUUGGGUGCUUCAGGCGGAGUUGGAACUUUUGCUAUACAGGUAGUGAAAGCAUGGGAUGCUCAUGUGACAGCGGUGUGCUCCCAGGAUGCCAGUGAGCUCGUGAAGAAACUUGGGGCGGAUGACGUGAUUGAUUACAAAUCCGGAAAGAUGAAAGAACAGUUGAAAUCUUUAAAACCGUUUGAUUUCAUCCUUGAUAAUGUUGGUGGAUCCACCGAAACCUGGGCUCUAAAUUUACUCAAGAAAUGGUCAGGAGCCACCUAUGUGACUUUGGUGACCCCGUUUCUCCUGAACAUGGACCGACUGGGCAUAGCAGACGGCAUGUUGCAGACAGGCGUCACCGUGGGCUCGAAGACAUUAAAGGUGGUGGCAUCAUCAUUCUGCAGGCCGGGAAGUAGGCUGAGAGAAGUAGCGUGACCUACACAGCACAGCUGCUAAGGGCCUGAGCUCGGGUGGCCGGGAGCCCACCGCACCGCCAGCUCCACACCAUGGCAGUGGCUGCCGCCACGCCGGGGGCAGGGAGGACGAGCGCAGAGAAAAGACGUCAGCUGUCCCCGCAGUUGCGGGCAGGUGCAGGGAAGGAGGCAGCGCGGUCCUGGCUGUCUGGACAGCUCACAUCUGAUGAAGAGUAGUUGGCAGCAUUUCUGGGAAGGAGUCCAUUAUCGCUGGGCCUUCUUCAUGGCCAGUGGUCCAUAUCUAGACAACAUUGCGGAGCUGGUGGAUGAGGGAAAGGU